RNAcentral lists this ribosomal RNA (242 nucleotides) under uncultured Peptostreptococcus sp. Its description in RNAcentral is "partial 16S ribosomal RNA". It matches the Rfam family "Bacterial small subunit ribosomal RNA", at positions 114 to 355 of the family's 1533-position model. The record is from RNAcentral. Lineage: Bacteria; Bacillati; Bacillota; Clostridia; Peptostreptococcales; Peptostreptococcaceae.
CGCGUGGGUAACCUGCCCUAUACACAUGGAUAACAUACUGAAAAGUUUACUAAUACAUGAUAAUAUAUAUUUACGGCAUCGUAGAUAUAUCAAAGUGUUAGCAGUAUAGGAUGGACCCGCGUCUGAUUAGCUAGUUGGUGAGAUAACUGCCCACCAAGGCGACGAUCAGUAGCCGACCUGAGAGGGUGAUCGGCCACAUUGGAACUGAGACACGGUCCAAACUCCUACGGGAGGCAGCAGUC